RNAcentral lists this unclassified non-coding RNA (236 nucleotides) under Hevea brasiliensis (rubber tree). Lineage: Eukaryota; Viridiplantae; Streptophyta; Magnoliopsida; Malpighiales; Euphorbiaceae. The record is from RNAcentral.
GGUUGCCCAUGAACGAAUGGCUAUUCAAACGUUGCUCAUUACUGAUGAUCUCUUUAGGAAUAAUGAUAUAACGGAGCGACAAAAGUAUGUCACUUUGGUUGAUUCAGUUAGGGAUUCUGGUGGCACCGUCCAUAUAUUUUCAUCCAUGCAUGUCUCAGGAGAACAACUUGCCCAGAUAACUGGAAUUGCAGCAAUCCUACGAUUUCCUCUGCCGGAUCUUGAAGACAUUGAAAUGU